UGUGCUUAUCUGUUCAACGACGCCACUAUGCAUUCAUGU
RNAcentral lists this unclassified non-coding RNA (39 nucleotides) under Leishmania tarentolae. RNAcentral describes it as "guide RNA". Lineage: Eukaryota; Euglenozoa; Kinetoplastea; Trypanosomatida; Trypanosomatidae. The record is from RNAcentral.